GCUGCGCUGAAUAUGGAUAUGGUGAGUGAAUCUAGAGCAGCCAUUUGGAGGUAUGAAGAGAUCUUGGAAAUAGAGGCCAUGUGUAUUGAAACAAGACCGAACAACUCCAAGUUCCUGAAGACUUCAUUUCACCAACCCAGAACCUCCUCGAUCAUCACAGCCUUUGCAUGGAUGAUUGUCUGUCCUCUGUUGGGCCCCUUCUGAAGAGAUGGAGUUGGCUUUAUACAAUUAUUCCCAAAUCUUCUAAACUGACAGUGAGGGAGAGUAAUUUGAAAGGACUGCUCAAUUCAACGUCAUCUGAAGAUUUGCACCACAGCUGCAUUUUUCCAAUUUCCUGGCAUCUAUUCUGCUCUCCUGGACUUUUCAAAAACAUUUUCUUUCAGAUCCCUGGAGGCCUCUCCCAGGGCCUGUGGUAUGGAGAGUUGGACUUGACCCUACUGUAAGAGACCCAACUUCCAAAGACUGCAUCAGAUGAAAGGCUCUCCAUAUAGACUACAGACUUGUCAGCUGGUUAAGGAGGCAAACAGAACAGUCUGCUACAAACUCCAGUCCAUGUAUCUGUGCUGAAAAUAAAAGGAGUCUUCAGGAAUCAAAGAAGAAAAUAUUUUUAUAAAGAAAUUUUAUUGCAUAAUUCUUGUAUACAAUAAACAUAGGAAAAGGGUUUUUAAUGAAAAUUCAUGUCAUUUUUCA
RNAcentral lists this long non-coding RNA (690 nucleotides) under Pan troglodytes (chimpanzee). RNAcentral describes it as "lincRNA". Lineage: Eukaryota; Metazoa; Chordata; Mammalia; Primates; Hominidae. The record is from RNAcentral.